GACGAACGCUGGCGGCGUGCCUAAUACAUGCAAGUCGAACGAGAGCAACCGGUGCUUGCACUGGUCAAUCUAGUGGCGAACGGGUGAGUAACACGUGGGUAACCUGCUCAUCAGAGGGGGAUAACAUCCGGAAACGGCUGCUAAAACCGCAUAGGUCUUCGAACCGCAGGGUUUGAAGAGGAAAAGAGGCUCACGCUUCUGCUGAUGGAUGGACCCGCGGUGCAUUAGCUAGUUGGUGAGGUAACGGCUCACCAAGGCCGCGAUGCAUAGCCGACCUGAGAGGGUGAUCGGCCACACUGGAACUGAGACACGGCCCAGACUCCUACGGGAGGCAGCAGUAGGGAAUCUUCCGCAAUGGACGCAAGUCUGACGGAGCAACGCCGCGUGAGUGAAGAAGGUUUUCGGAUCGUAAAACUCUGUUGUUAGAGAAGAACAAGUGCUAGAGUAACUGUUAGCGCCUUGACGGUACCUAACCAGAAAGCCACGGCUAACUACGUG
This 498-nucleotide ribosomal RNA is filed under the name uncultured bacterium. Its description in RNAcentral is "partial 16S ribosomal RNA". It matches the Rfam family "Bacterial small subunit ribosomal RNA", at positions 28 to 507 of the family's 1533-position model. The record is from RNAcentral.